GAUGAACGCUGGCGGCGUGCUUAAUACAUGCAAGUCGAACGAAGUCAGUAGCAAUAUUGGCUGAGUGGCGAACGGGUGAGUAACGCGUUGGUGACCUGCCCCGAAGAGAGGGAUAACAGUCCGAAAGGAUUGCUAAUACCCCAUGUGGUCGUUUGGAUUAGAUGCCUUACGACUAAACGGAUUUAUUCGCUUCGGGAGGGGCCUGCGUCCCAUCAGCUAGUUGGUAGGGUAAUGGCCUACCAAGGCGAUGACGGGUAGGGGACCUGAGAGGGUGGCCCCCCACAAUGGAACUGAAACACGGUCCAUACACCUACGGGAGGCUG
RNAcentral lists this ribosomal RNA (323 nucleotides) under uncultured Chloroflexota bacterium. Its description in RNAcentral is "bacterial SSU rRNA". It matches the Rfam family "Bacterial small subunit ribosomal RNA", at positions 28 to 351 of the family's 1533-position model. The record is from RNAcentral. Lineage: Bacteria; Bacillati; Chloroflexota.